GACGAACGCUGGCGGCGUGCUUAACACAUGCAAGUCGAACGGAAAGGCCCUGCUUUUGUUGGUUUCUCGAUUGGCGAACGGGUGAGUAACACGUGAGUAACCUGCCCUUGACUUUGUGAUAACUUCAGGAAACUGGGGCUAAUACCGGAUAGGAGCUCCUGCUGCAUGUUGGGGGUUGGAAAGUUUCGGCGGUACGGGAUGGACUCGCGGCUUAUCAGCUUGUUUGUGGGGUAGGUGCUUACCAAGGCUUUGACGGGUAGCCUGCCUGAGAGCGUUAACGGCCACAUUGGGACUGAGAUACGGAGCAGACUCCUACGGGAGGCAGCAGUGGGGAAUAUUGCACAAUGGGGGGAAGCCUGAUGCAGCAACGCCGCGUGCGGGAUGACGGCCUUCGGGUUGUAAACCGCUUUCGCCUGUGACGAAGCGGGCGUGACGGUAAUGGGUAAAGAAGCACCGGCUAACUACGUG
RNAcentral lists this ribosomal RNA (468 nucleotides) under uncultured bacterium. RNAcentral describes it as "partial 16S ribosomal RNA". It matches the Rfam family "Bacterial small subunit ribosomal RNA", at positions 28 to 507 of the family's 1533-position model. The record is from RNAcentral.